GUCCACGUAGCUCAGCCGGAUAGAGCAUGCGCCUUCUAAGCGCACGGUCGGGAGUUCGAGUCUCUCCGUGGACGCCA
Molecule: transfer RNA, 77 nt
Filed under: Erysipelothrix sp.
Lineage: Bacteria; Bacillati; Bacillota; Erysipelotrichia; Erysipelotrichales; Erysipelotrichaceae
Also listed under: 2 other names
Description: tRNA-Arg
Rfam family: tRNA
About the family: Transfer RNA (tRNA) molecules are approximately 80 nucleotides in length.
Source: RNAcentral